GCGAUGAGCUGAAUUGCAUAAGUCGAGUUGACACGCCUUUUGGCAAGGCACUAUGUGGAGUGCUGUCUCUCGCCGCAAUACGCAAAAGACGUCCUU
This 96-nucleotide small RNA is filed under the name uncultured Ferdinandcohnia sp. Its description in RNAcentral is "BsrF". It matches the Rfam family "BsrF". The record is from RNAcentral. Lineage: Bacteria; Bacillati; Bacillota; Bacilli; Caryophanales; Bacillaceae.